GCGAUCAUACCAGCACUAAUGCACCGGAUCCCAUCAGAACUCCGAAGUUAAGCGUGCUUGGGCAAGAGUAGUACUAAGAUGGGUGACCUCUUGGGAAGUCCUCGUGUUGCACCCC
RNAcentral lists this ribosomal RNA (115 nucleotides) under Spirodela intermedia. Lineage: Eukaryota; Viridiplantae; Streptophyta; Magnoliopsida; Alismatales; Araceae. The record is from RNAcentral.